AAAUGAGAUGCAAACUCAAUUAUCAUGAUUGAGUAACAAGUGACAUAUUUGUUGGUGAGGAUGAACAGAAGUAUGUCAAACUGGAUGAGAGUGCUACACAUUGAUUGUUCAGUAGGAUGUAUGGUCACCCAAGAUUGUCAAAACACACUGACAGCAAUGGGGCAUGGACAGGAUCAAAUUGUCCAGCUUGGGAUGCAAUGGGGAAUCGGAUCCAGGAUCAGAUGGUCCAGUUUGGGAUGCAAUGGGAAUCGGAUCUGGGAUCAGAUUGUCAUGCUUGGGAUUCAGGUCUGGAGAACAUGAAGGCCAGUCCAUGCAUUCAAUUCCUGCCUCUUGAAGCAUGUUA
This 343-nucleotide long non-coding RNA is filed under the name Androctonus crassicauda. The record is from RNAcentral. Lineage: Eukaryota; Metazoa; Arthropoda; Arachnida; Scorpiones; Buthidae.